AUUAGAUAAGGGCAAACUUAUCGAAAGGUAAGGACGCAAAGCUUAAGGGACUAAAGAUCUAUUGAUCAAAGUUAGCCAGCUACCUAA
This 87-nucleotide non-coding RNA is filed under the name Tenuibacillus multivorans. Its description in RNAcentral is "c-di-GMP-I riboswitch aptamer". It matches the Rfam family "c-di-GMP-I riboswitch aptamer". From Rfam's summary of the family: GEMM was predicted in a large-scale screen for bacterial structured RNA regulatory elements. Genes associated with GEMM are involved in a diverse array of functions, including chemotaxis regulation, signal transduction, secretion and chitin. Lineage: Bacteria; Bacillati; Bacillota; Bacilli; Caryophanales; Bacillaceae. The record is from Rfam by way of RNAcentral.